UACAGAGGUCUCAAGCGUUGUUCGGAUUCACUGGGUUUAAAGGGUGCGUAGGUGGGCAGUUAAGUCAGUGGUGAAAUCUCCGGGCUCAACCCGGAAACUGCCAUUGAUACUAUCGGUCUUGAAUAUCGUGGAGGUAAGCGGAAUAUGUCAUGUAGCGGUGAAAUGCUUAGAUAUGACAUAGAACACCAAUUGCGAAGGCAGCUUACUACCCGAAUAUUGACACUGAGGCACGAAAGCGUGGGGAUCAAACAGG
This 253-nucleotide ribosomal RNA is filed under the name uncultured bacterium. RNAcentral's name for it is "partial 16S ribosomal RNA". It matches the Rfam family "Bacterial small subunit ribosomal RNA", at positions 524 to 776 of the family's 1533-position model. The record is from RNAcentral.